GACGAACGCUGGCGGCGUGCUUAACACAUGCAAGUCGAACGGAAAGGCCCUGCUUUUGUGGGGUGCUCGAGUGGCGAACGGGUGAGUAACACGUGAGUAACCUGCCCUUGACUUUGGGAUAACUUCAGGAAACUGGGGCUAAUACCGGAGAGGAGCUCCUGCUGCAUGGUGGGGGUUGGAAAGUUUCGGCGGUUGGGGAUGGACUCGCGGCUUAUCAGCUUGUUGGUGGGGUAGUGGCUUACCAAGGCUUUGACGGGUAGCCGGCCUGAGAGGGUGACCGGCCACCAUGGGACUGCGAUACGGCCCAGACUCCUACGGGAGGCAGCAGUGGAGAAUAUUGCACAAUGGGCGGAAGCCUGAUGCAGCAACGCCGCGUGCGGGAUGACGGCCUUCGGGUUGUAAACCGCUUUCGCCUGUGACGAAGCGUGAGUGACGGUAAUGGGUAAAGAAGCACCGGCUAACUACGUG
RNAcentral lists this ribosomal RNA (468 nucleotides) under uncultured bacterium. RNAcentral's name for it is "partial 16S ribosomal RNA". It matches the Rfam family "Bacterial small subunit ribosomal RNA", at positions 28 to 507 of the family's 1533-position model. The record is from RNAcentral.